Molecule: transfer RNA, 73 nt
Filed under: Astyanax mexicanus (Mexican tetra)
Lineage: Eukaryota; Metazoa; Chordata; Actinopteri; Characiformes; Acestrorhamphidae
Rfam family: tRNA
About the family: Transfer RNA (tRNA) molecules are approximately 80 nucleotides in length. Their secondary structure includes four short double-helical elements and three loops (D, anti-codon, and T loops).
Source: Rfam by way of RNAcentral
GCCCGGAUAGCUCAGUCGUAAGAGCAUCAGACUUUUAAUCUGAGGGUCCAGGGUUCAAGUCCCUGUUCGGGCG